UGGGGAAUAUUGGACAAUGGGGGGAACCCUGAUCCAGCCAUGCCGCGUGUGUGAAGAAGGCCUUAUGGUUGUAAAGCACUUUAAGCGAGGAGGAGGGUACUGGUAUUAAUACUACCAGCUACUGGACGUUACUCGCAGAAUAAGCACCGGCUAACUCUGUGCCAGCAGCCGCGGUAAUACAGAGGGUGCGAGCGUUAAUCGGAUUUACUGGGCGUAAAGCGUGCGUAGGCGGCUAAUUGAGUCGGAUGUGAAAUCCCCGAGCUUAACUUGGGAAGUGCAUUCGAUACUGGUUAGCUAGAGUGUGGGAGAGGAUGGUAGAAUUCCAAGUGUAGCGGUGAAAUGCGUAGAGAUCUGGAGGAAUACCGAUGGCGAAGGCAGCCAUCUGGCCUAACACUGACGCUGAGGUACGAAAGCAUGGGGAGCAAACAGG
This 430-nucleotide ribosomal RNA is filed under the name Pseudomonadota bacterium. RNAcentral's name for it is "Proteobacteria bacterium partial 16S ribosomal RNA". It matches the Rfam family "Bacterial small subunit ribosomal RNA", at positions 355 to 776 of the family's 1533-position model. The record is from RNAcentral. Lineage: Bacteria; Pseudomonadati; Pseudomonadota.